UAUGGUGCAAGCGUUAUCCGGAUUUACUGGGUGUAAAGGGAGCGCAGGUGGCAUGGCAAGCCAGAAGUGAACGCCCGGGGCUUAACCGCGGGACUGCUUUUGGAACUGUUGUGCUGGAGUGCAGGAGGGGUAAGCGGAAUUCCUAGUGUAGCGGUGAAAUGCGUAGAUAUUAGGAAGAACACCGGUGGCGAAGGCGGCUUACUGGACUGUAACUGACACUGAGGCUCGAAAGCGUGGGGAGCAA
This 244-nucleotide ribosomal RNA is filed under the name uncultured bacterium. RNAcentral's name for it is "partial 16S ribosomal RNA". It matches the Rfam family "Bacterial small subunit ribosomal RNA", at positions 528 to 771 of the family's 1533-position model. The record is from RNAcentral.